AUUAAACGCUGGCGGCAGGCCUAACACAUGCAAGUCGAACGGUAACAGAAAGCAGCUUGCUGCUUUGCUGACGAGUGGCGGACGGGUGAGUAAUGUCUGGGAAACUGCCUGAUGGAGGGGGAUAACUACUGGAAACGGUAGCUAAUACCGCAUAACGUCGCAAGACCAAAGAGGGGGACCUUCGGGCCUCUUGCCAUCGGAUGUGCCCAGAUGGGAUUAGCUAGUAGGUGGGGUAACGGCUCACCUAGGCGACGAUCCCUAGCUGGUCUGAGAGGAUGACCAGCCACACUGGAACUGAGACACGGUCCAGACUCCUACGGGAGGCAGCAGUGGGGAAUAUUGCACAAUGGGCGCAAGCCUGAUGCAGCCAUGCCGCGUGUAUGAAGAAGGCCUUCGGGUUGUAAAGUACUUUCAGCGGGGAGGAAGGGAGUAAAGUUAAUACCUUUGCUCAUUGACGUUACCCGCAGAAGAAGCACCGGCUAACUCCGUG
RNAcentral lists this ribosomal RNA (490 nucleotides) under uncultured bacterium. RNAcentral describes it as "partial 16S ribosomal RNA". It matches the Rfam family "Bacterial small subunit ribosomal RNA", at positions 30 to 507 of the family's 1533-position model. The record is from RNAcentral.